AGAGUUUGAUCCUGGCUCAGGAUGAACGUUGGCGGUGUGCCUAAUACAUGCAAGUCGAACGGUGACGAUUUUGUAGCAAUACGAAUGAAAUCAUAGUGGCGAACGGGUGAGUAACGCGUUGGUGAUCUGCCUCGAAGUGUGGAAUAACUUCCCGAAAGGGUAGCUAAUACCGCAUAGUCUCUCAAGGUUUAGAAAAUUGAGAGUAAAGGAUUUAUUCGCUUCGAGAGGAGCCUGCGUCCCAUCAGCUAGUUGGUAGGGUAAUAGCCUACCAAGGCAAUGACGGGUAGGGGACCUGAGAGGGUGGCCCCCCACAAUGGAACUGAAACACGGUCCAUACACCUACGGGUGGCAGCAGUAGGGAAUAUUAGAAAUGGGCGAAAGCCUGAUCUAGCAACACCGCGUGUGCGAUGAAGGCCUUCGGGUUGUAAAGCACUUUUUGGAGGGAAUAGGAAGGAAGGUACCUCCAGAAUAAGUCUCGGCUAACUACGUGCCAGCAGCCGCGGUAACACGUAGGAGGCAAACGUUAUCCGGAUUCACUGGGCGUAAAGCGCGUGUAGGUGGUUCUGUAAGUAGGGCGUGAAAGCUCCCGGCUCAACUGGGAGAGGCCGUACUAAACUGCAGAGCUAGAGGAUGGUAGAGGGAGGUGGAAUUCCAGGUGUAGUGGUGAAAUGCGCAGAUAUCUGGAGGAACACCAGUGGCGAAGGCGGCCUCCUGGACCAUUCCUGACACUCAGACGCGAAAGCUAGGGUAGCAAACGGAAUUAGAGACUCCGGUAGUCCUAGCCCUAAACGAUGCAGAGUAGGCGUCGGCGGUUUAAUCACCGUCGGUGUCCAAGCUAACGCGAUAAGUCUGCCGCCUGAGGACUACGGCCGCAAGGCUAAAACUCAAAGGAAUUGACGGGUCCCCGCACAAGCAGCGGAGCGUGUGGUUUAAUUUGAUGCUCCGCGAAGAACCUUACCUGGGUUUGACAUAACAGUGGUAGAGAGGUGGGGGCGGGUCGUCCCUUCGGGGGGCUGUUUCUGGUGUUGCGUGCCUGUCGUCUGCUCGUGUCGUGUGGUGUUCGGUUGUGUCCGCUCUCGGGCGCGCCCCGCGCUGUGUGUUUCUUGUGUCUCUCCGUCCCGCCGGUGUUUUGUCGGUGGGGGGUGCGGGUGGCGUCUUGUC
This 1161-nucleotide ribosomal RNA is filed under the name uncultured bacterium. Its description in RNAcentral is "bacterial SSU rRNA". It matches the Rfam family "Bacterial small subunit ribosomal RNA", at positions 8 to 1191 of the family's 1533-position model. The record is from RNAcentral.